UUAAAUUGAAGAGUUUGAUCAUGGCUCAGAUUGAACGCUGGCGGCAGGCCUAACACAUGCAAGUCGAACGGUAACAGGAAACAGCUUGCUGUUUCGCUGGCGAGUGGCGGACGGGUGAGUAAUGUCUGGGAAACUGCC
Molecule: ribosomal RNA, 138 nt
Filed under: Escherichia coli
Lineage: Bacteria; Pseudomonadati; Pseudomonadota; Gammaproteobacteria; Enterobacterales; Enterobacteriaceae
Description: partial 16S ribosomal RNA
Rfam family: Bacterial small subunit ribosomal RNA
Source: RNAcentral